Alligator mississippiensis (American alligator) is the source of this 5272-nucleotide long non-coding RNA. RefSeq lists it as uncharacterized. The transcript is spliced from 2 exons. NCBI's taxonomy places the organism in Eukaryota, Metazoa, Chordata, Crocodylia, Alligatoridae. The record is from RefSeq and is a predicted model, not a curated record.
GCGCAGCCGCAGGUCGGGCGGGAACAGCGCGGGCAAGACGCGCGCUCCCUCCCUCCCUCCCUCACACACUCACACUCACACUCACACACACCGCACCGCACCGCACAACGCACACCUAACACCGGGACCGCGGGGCGGCACCUGGCUCAAGCCUGCGGCGGGGCCGUCACCCUCCCUCCCACCUGUGCCCGGCUCGGCCCGCACCCCCGAGGAAAAGCCUCCCCGGCCUGACUCCCCCGGCUCUGCUCGGAUGUGUCCGCACCGGGCCCAGAGGCGAGACCCCGCUCCCCAGGCUGGAGAGGGACAAGCCCUGCCCCACCUCGCUCUGCCCCCCCCGCCUCCAGCCGGGCCCUUCGCCCCCAAGGCCAGCGGGCUCCCCCAGCCCAGAGGGGCUGCUGCCAGGAUGGGGGAGAACAGAAGGUGGCUGGCUGCACCAAGGGCAAAAAAUAUAUGGGGGGGAGGAAAGAAAAGUUUCGACUUUAUAACGCUUGAACUGAUGCCACGCCAUGCCAGCGAACAAGUUAACUGUGUCGCUCAUCUCCCCAGAGAACAGCUGUCCAAACUUCCUUGGACACUUUCUUUAAGAAAAAAGACAAGACUCCAGAAAAACCUGCAGCCAAGACUCCAGCCAACAACCCUUCAAAAAGUUCAACCAAGAGCCCUUCAAAAAGUCCAGCAAAGUCACCUCAAAGAAAUCCUUCCAAAUCAAUAUGAUUGCUAUUUACAAUAAAAAUGCAUUAAUUAUCAUACAUUCUUACGAGAAAAUUGGUUCCGAGUUACAAUGUUUUGACAUAAGACAUGGUUUUCAGGAACCAAUUGUGUCAUAAAUCCGAGGACUGCCUGUAUAUAUCAUCAUUUAGAGCAGCGGUUCCCAAUCUCUGACAGAUUGGGCACCAAUUUAAAAUGAUACAAUCUUAAAUACAUUUUUCAGUUCAGCCUUAAGUACCUUAAGCAAAUUUUUGUCAUAUAAUUAUCCGUUAAUGGGUACCACUGAUAGGUUGUCUGUGUACCACUGGUUGUACCUGUACCACAGAUUGGGAAUCGCUGAUUUAGAGAGUAAAUAUUUUUUUAACAAAAAAGAAGGCUCACACACGCUGUAGCACUAGUACAGUAUUAUCAGCAGGACUACUGGGAUCUGCAUAUAUCCAUGUAUUGAGACUGCAAAUUUUAAUGUAAGUGGCCUGGUAUCUGUGGAUUGUGUCACUUUAAAAUAGAAAGCAUUUGUGUGAUCCCUAGCCUGUUUCACCCACUUCUGGAAUGGAGUUGUUCCCAGAGCCAGUCAAACAACAUUUUAUCGUAAGCCAGAAUCAGAUUGGAAAGGUGGUGAGGCCAGGUUAUAAGUGCAGUAUGCAUUAGGCAAGCUACUUAUCCUAGGAAUGAAAGCUACCAAUCAAUCACCCCGUGCAACAACCUGCAACCAGCUCUAACUGUUGUUAUUAUUAUUUACGUUAGAGUAGUUCUUCAAAUCUUUUAGGCUCUGUAAAGACAAAGGGAAAGAUGCUGACCCUGCCCUACAGGGCUUACAAACCAAAGGACAACAAACAGGUAUAAUGAGAAAAGGGAUGAGUGUGCUAGGUUAGGUUCUUUUUUCAUUAUUUUAAUCAGUAUCUUUGACUCAUAGGUCUUGAGGAAGGACUGAGGAUUAAGGAUAGAUCUGAGAGUGCAAGAGUAGCCUGGAAAUUCUGGAAAAGCAUUCUUUUUUUAGGGAUGGGACUGACAACUGAGAAGAGAUAACUGUUGUAGGAGCAGGUGAGUAGCACAGCCAGGGACAGAAAUGGCUGAAUAUGAAAGGGACAAGAAGCAUGGACAGAGCAGUCAGAAGAAGCAGAGAUGCAUGUGAUUUUGAGGCCUAGAUAUUAAACCUACAUGGAUGAGUAGAGGGAGGAAGCUUCAGCGGGACCAAUAUUGCCAUUGUCAUCAAUCCAAAACUUUGUGUUGGAUCCACCUUUCUUACACCUUGCUCAAAGCAAAUGCUGUCUUUGCUAAACAUUGUUCAGCAAAGACCCUGAUUUAUAGAACCAAAAAAUAUGCUCCGUUCACAUGAAAGGGAAAAAAAAGCGGUAUUGCCAAAUCUAAGUAUUACAAAAUUAUUAGUCAGGUCUGAAAGAUCAUUAAAUGGGCUUAAAUGCCAUGAAAUUUAAAAAUACCAGUAAUAAUAAUGUUUAGCUGCUUGUUGUCACCUCCUUUCAGUCUUUGAAGGGGAACAUUAGCAAGUUCUUUCCCACAACCAUAAGCCCUACAAAUUUAUUUCUAAAAAAAGAAGGCUAAGAUUCUCACAUCUUCACAUGUUGCGAGACUUGCAGUAAAAUUGCUAAAAAACGUGUGGGAAAAUAACUGAAUGUACCAUGUAUGUACUCAAAAAGUAAAUGAUAGUAUACAACAACAUGGACUGAGGUUGUUCUUUCGGGCAAAUCACUGAUUCAGUUUUUGAUUCAUAAAGCUUGCUUGCCUUUUGUUUUUUAAAGACGAUUCUAUGACAGACAAAGCAGAUGAUGUUGCUUUAAUUAAAUCCCUUGGCUCUCUCUGGUUGCUCAGAGCAACACUGUAAGUCCCUGGAGAAGAAUCUGAAAUAUUAUAUCAGGUUCAUAAAAAAAAACAACAACAAAAAAAGAUUUUCAUGGCACAUUGGAAGGUGAUAUCUAACAGGAAGUUCUUGGUGAAUUGAUGGCAUUGUUCUGCACCUUUUCUUUAUUUAUUCUGCAGGCUUCAUCUGUGCAUAACUAAGAGAUGUGUAAGGUUUUAUUUAUCAACCUGUAUUUAUUUUCUUAAUACAUGUUAUUCCUGGGUGGAUGAAUAGUUCAUAUUCCUAAUUUAAGAUGACAGUCUUAAAUGUCUUAAAGAUGACACUUUUAAAGAUAAACUGGUAAGGACAAAAAGCACAAUACUCACAGGCAGUCCAAGGGAGGUGGGGUGAAGCUGACUCAAAAGUCACUUUUGUAACAAGAACAGCCCAUGUGAGGAAAGAAUGUUUAAUGUCUACCUGAGAAAUGACACAGUUGUGUUUGUGCCUUUUCAGGUAGCUUGCUAUUGUGAUACAGGUGGAACUCCCUCUGCGGAUACUCCUAUUCCAGUAUAAAAGUGGCUUUUAUGGCUUAGCUAAUAUCAGUGAUAUAAACUAUAUCCGAAAAAAAGCUCUUUUUAUCCUGGAACAGAAUUAUCUACCUGGGCUUUUGUACUAUUAUAGCUAUAGUGGUAAAUGCCCAUAGUAUAACUUCCCAUGCAGACAAGUCUUAAGUUAUUCCAGCCGGUCACCUGGCUCCCUGUGGGCCACAGCAUUGCCUAUACCCUGGUUGCAUGCUAUGACCCCACUUCCCACAAUAUGGAUGGUUACUUGUCAAGCAGCCUUACAGUUGUGCUUCCAAGUUUCUAGUAUAGGAGUAUCUUUCACAGGCUGCAAUUCAGAGCUUUUAGAGCACUGUGAUGUCACUCUAGCCUCUUUUCCCGCUAAAAGGAGGGCACUGAGGAAUCUUACUCAAAGUUUUAAUUUAUCUUAUAUUGCUGGGGAUCUUCUCCAGACCAGAGAAUUGAAGUAGGCGCUUUCUCAACCUAAAACUGAAAGAGGAGAGGGGAUGAAGUUUAAGUCUUUAGAAAAGGAAAACAGUUAAAUUAUGUGGUUGGAAUUCCAGCCUUGCAUACACACCAUAGGAUCGCACUAAAACAAGCAUUUCUUUUCAAAGGGACAACCUAGCUUCAGUCCUCCAGCUUCACCACUCAGCACCUCUGCUUCCCCAUGCAGGCUAUACCUACAACGCUCAGACAUUCCAGUCUUGGGAUUCUCUGGAGUAGCAACUAAUAAUUGUGUCAAAUGGACAGAUGAGCACAGAUGCCUUCUGCUUAUUCUGCUUUCCCCUGCCCAGCCUACACCCAAUGCAACUACAUUUAUUUGCAUCUAUCCUCUUUGAUUGCUGCAGACAGUUUGCAGCAAUUUAGCAAAGUGUAAACUUUCACAUGGGCAGCAGCAGCUGCAGGACUGUGUCUUUCCUGAUGGAAAUGUGAAUUCUGUAAUUGGAGAACAGUACCUACCAAAUAGGCUUGUUGUGUAGGCAAGAUGAUAUUUCUGCUGAUAUUCUGCUUGAACAUGUCUGAUGUGGCAAACUCAGGCUUUUGAGUAGGAGUUAUGUGUUGUUGUUAACUAUUACUCAUUCUCUUGCUUGUCCUUGCUCUGGAUUUCAUUGUUUUGGGUGUGGUUUAUCUUAAGGUGAGAGUUAUUUAAUAUACUGUGGUUUAUUUUAAGGUGAAGAGGAGGAGAAGUUUCCUCUCUGUCCAGGAUGCCAUUAAAUUUUUGGUGCAGAGAUGCAUUUUUUGUUACUGAGAUUUUAGAAGGUGCCAGGUGGGAGCUGUCUCAGCUUAAUCUACAUUUUACAUCUUUACUGGGGCAAAGCAUCUCAAUGACUGCUGUGAGUUUAAUUAAGUAAAAACUGUAUAGAGAUCUUAGGAUUCUGCCUGUUUUGUUCUGUAGAUCUGUUAGGCUAGGGACAGAAAUUGCACAUAAACUGGUAUAAAUGUGUCACAACCCAAAGUUGUGAGUUUUUGUUUGUGUGUGCUUCGGUGUUGCUAAAUUAUGUUCCUGCUAAAUUGCAGCUUCCUUGCAUGGUGGAGUUCUCUGCUGCAGAAGAGAACCCUAGUGCAACGGAGAAUUUCCCGCCAAUUUGUAGCUUUCUUUGCAUGGUGCAUUUCUUUUGCAUCUCAGAAAUGCACGGUGCAAAGGAGUUCCCGCCAUUUGUAUGAAGAUUCGUGCCAUGUCAUUGGCCGAUUCUAAUACAUGCACACGUGGCGGCUAGUUAUUGGCUUGCUAGCCGUAUAAAGAGCUUGGGUGGUUUCUGCCCAAGUUGGAGAACUCCGAGGAGACCCCCGCAAGGGAAGACUCCACGAACACCAGGAGGAGGAGACUUCGCACUGUGUGAAGAUCUCUAAGCGUUGCGGAUCCUCACGGACCCAACGCAUUUCUUAAGCAGGCAACAGAGGUCUAAACAGCCUCUGGCCUCUCCCCGUCGCCGAGCGCAAUCCUAGAUGUAUCCCUUUCCUAUAUACUCAAGAUCCGAACCCACGGAGCUUUAAUAACUCCGGGGCCAGAGAGCCGAACCAAACCCACGGAGCUUCGACAACUCCGUGGGAAAGAAAUUGCCGAACCCGCGGAGCCUUAACAACUCCGGGGCCAAAAAAACGAAUUUGUCGUAGUCCUCCAACGAGGAUUUAAGCGGAGCUGCACCUGGAAAACUGUCCAGCCUACACCGCGACCAUCUUGGGUGUAAGUAAAUAAUCUUUAAAUCAA